This 547-nucleotide ribosomal RNA is filed under the name uncultured archaeon. RNAcentral's name for it is "bacterial SSU rRNA". It matches the Rfam family "Archaeal small subunit ribosomal RNA", at positions 277 to 824 of the family's 1478-position model. The record is from RNAcentral.
UGAGAGCAAGAGCCCGGAGAUGGAUUCUGAGACACGAAUCCAGGCCCUACGGGGUGCAGCAGGCGCGAAAACUUUACAAUGCUGGCAACAGCGAUAAGGGAACCUCGAGUGCCAGGUUACAAAUCUGGCUGUCGAGAUGCCUAAAAAGCAUUUCAUAGCAAGGGCCGGGCAAGACCGGUGCCAGCCGCCGCGGUAACACCGGCGGCUCGAGUGGUAACCGUUAUUAUUGGGUCUAAAGGGUCUGUAGCCGGCCGGAUAAGUCUCUUGAGAAAUCUGGCAGCUUAACUGUCAGGCUUUCAGGAGAUACUGUCUGGCUCGAGGCCGGGAGAGGUGAGAGGUACUUCAGGGGUAGGGGUGAAAUCUUGUAAUCCUUGAAGGACCACCAGUGGCGAAGGCGUCUCACCAGAACGGACCUGACGGCAAGGGACGAAAGCUAGGGGCACGAACCGGAUUAGAUACCCGGGUAGUCCUAGCCGUAAACGAUACUCGCUAGGUGUCGGCCACGGUGCGACCGUUGUCGGUGCCGUAGGGAAGCCGUGAAGCGAGC